UGAAUCACAGCAGAGCAGCCCGACUCGCGCCACCCAGGGAGGGCUGAAGCGCUCUGCGCGACCGAGGCUCCUGACCCCACCCCUGCCGUAGGGGACCCAGAGCUUGGCCAGGAUGGCCCGCCCUGCCACCUCAACUCUGGUUCUUCAGGAGAGAGAGGCUGCAUGUUUGUCACUCUUCCUGACUCCCUGGGAGAGGAGGGAGAGAAACUUCCAGACUGUUGCUCAAUCUCUGUUAAAAUUAAGCAAGGAGCAGACUGGGCUGGACAAUCUCAAAGGCUCCCUCCAGGUAGACCUCCAUGAUCUGAGCGACCGGCUCUGGGUGCGGCAGCGGCCUCUUCCUCCAGCUCCUCUAUUUUAUCACACGAGGAAGAGGAACAUGGUAAGUAAUGGCGAUCGGCAUUAUCCCCACUGACCUUU
RNAcentral lists this long non-coding RNA (417 nucleotides) under Dasypus novemcinctus (nine-banded armadillo). RNAcentral's name for it is "lncRNA (ENSDNOG00000051656.1)". Lineage: Eukaryota; Metazoa; Chordata; Mammalia; Cingulata; Dasypodidae. The record is from RNAcentral.